RNAcentral lists this ribosomal RNA (254 nucleotides) under uncultured bacterium. Its description in RNAcentral is "partial 16S ribosomal RNA". It matches the Rfam family "Bacterial small subunit ribosomal RNA", at positions 524 to 776 of the family's 1533-position model. The record is from RNAcentral.
GACGUAGGGCGCGAGCGUUGUCCGGAUUUAUUGGGCGUAAAGAGCUCGUAGGCGGUCUGUCGCGUCGAUCGUGAAAACUUGGGGCUUAACCCUGAGCUUGCGGUCGAUACGGGCAUGACUGGAGUUCGGCAGGGGAGACUGGAAUUCCUGGUGUAGCGGUGAAAUGCGCAGAUAUCAGGAGGAACACCGGUGGCGAAGGCGGGUCUCUGGAACGCAACUGACGCUGAGACGCGAAAGCGUGGGGAGCAAACAGG